This 244-nucleotide long non-coding RNA is filed under the name Ananas comosus (pineapple). RNAcentral describes it as "long non-coding RNA (ACOM_LNC034557)". Lineage: Eukaryota; Viridiplantae; Streptophyta; Magnoliopsida; Poales; Bromeliaceae. The record is from RNAcentral.
UUCAUUUCUAUAUAAUGCUCAGUGUUAAGGAUUUUAUAAGUUGGCGAAUUUCGUGAUGGUUUGGAUAGAGUCUCGAAGAAUUAGAAGAUGAAGAUUGACGAAAAGAAUUGAAGUUCUUAUGAUCAAAGACCCUUGAGAACUCAGGUAUGAUUAUAAAUAAUUUGUGGUGAAGUUUUCAUUGUUAAAAGAUGUUUAGAAGACUUGGUUUCAUUCUUGUUUAUUCAAAAUUAAGUUUUCUGGAAAA